AUUAAAAAUUUAUAAAAUGUUAAAACUAGGUUCCAAUGUAAUAGCAUAUGAACUGAAAACGUUUUGAUAUACAUUUUGAGGUAAAUCAGGAAAAUCAGGUGUCUGAGAUAAUGUCCUUUAGUCUUUGUGCUCUUCCUUGCCAUUUGGUUUUUUUAAGCUCAAGACACAGCUGUGCCUUUUGUCUCUGAUACUGUCAGGCACCUCUGUAUUUAAAUGACACUGUUAUGCUGAUAAGAUCAAGGCUGGGAAGUUGCCAGUGUCUGGAAUCUUCCUGAUUGCAUUUGCAUGCUUUGUUAAAAUGGUCUCCACCUCUACUGUAUGGAUCCCUCCCACUUGAAUGUAUAAAAACUACAAUGUCUUAAGGACAAAUUAGACUAUUGAUGACUGCAGCGCCACGCAGAGCGUUCUCAAUAAAAGAAUCCUGCUGAAGAUUACCCAAGAGUCUCCUGGUCUUCGUUUCUGAGUUCCCAACAUUUUUUGGUGCCGUGACCCGGAUAGAGCUUCUCACCUGAAUCCAGAUUGAAACUGCAACCUCAACAAAUAUCAGACUUCAUUCCAGACUGAAUCUUUCUUUACAACCAAUGGUUGGUAUGCACGCAUGAGAAGUCAUUUCCAUAUGUGACAUCCUAGUGUAAAGCAUCACUUCAGACAUCCGUGAACAAGCUUCAUGAGGACAAAGAGUUAUCUGAGUGAAUCUACGUGCGAAAUGGACUACAGAAAACAGACUUCACAGCUAUUCGGACGCCAUGGACUUCAAGACUUCCACUCCUAUGCUACAUGAUUUUUUCUGUGUCAUCAUGUAGUUUUUACAACGUGUUACCAUCCAUACCAUAUGUGUCAACAGUUAUGGUUCUAAAAAUACACCUAAGUAAAUCUAGUACAAGACACAGAAUAAGUUAAACGUGCCUGUAACCUUUUCAAGUCACAUGACUGAAGAUGGGGCUUAUGUUAACAAACAGGCCAUAGAAUGGACUUAUGAAAGUUUAAAUUUGUAUUAUGUGAGAGUUAUUAGAACUCUCAACGGGAGGACUGUGGGAUUGCAAAUUUAGAAAAUGUUAAAUCUAGGUUCCAAUAUAAUAGUAGAGUUUUUGGGGUAAUAAAGUUGACAUCCAAGAAGCUCAAAUCAGGAAAAUCAAGUGUCUGAGACAUUAACCUUUUGUCUUUGUGCUCUUCCUUGCCAUUUGGUUUUUUUAAGCUCAAGACACAGAUGUGCCUUUUGUCUCUGAUACUGUCAGGCACCUCUGUAUUUAAAUGACACUGUUAUGCUGAUAAGAUCAAGGCUGGGAAGUUGCCAGUGUCUGGAAUCUUCCUGAUUGCAUUUGCAUGCUUUGUUAAAAUGGUCUCCACCUCUACUGUAUGGAUCCCUCCCACUUGAAUGUAUAAAAACUACAAUGUCUUAAGGACAAGUUAGACUAUUGAUGACUACAGCGCCACGCAGAGCGUUCUCAAUAAAAGAAUCCUGCUGAAGAUUA
Carassius auratus (goldfish) is the source of this 1472-nucleotide long non-coding RNA. RefSeq lists it as uncharacterized. NCBI's taxonomy places the organism in Eukaryota, Metazoa, Chordata, Actinopteri, Cypriniformes, Cyprinidae. The record is from RefSeq and is a predicted model, not a curated record. The transcript is spliced from 2 exons.